AGGCUUUGACAGAACAAGGAACCUGAUGGAACCAGGAGAAAUGAAACAGAUCUAAAAUAAUGUGUGAAGACCUUGCUUGGAUUCAGCAGAUGCCUGCCCUGAUGUGGAGCAAACGACAACCUUAUGAAGGCAGGUGACCCCUGUAUUCAUCCUUUUUGCCUUUUAAAUAGAAAUGCCAUAGCCCACAUCCUGCACACUUCAAAGAUAAGGCGAGUGAGGGAAAAUAACUUGGAUCCAAGAAAAAAGGGAGCCAGCUUACCUGGGAUUACUGAAAUUCUAACACUGAGAAAUCGAGACAGCAGCUUGUGUAUUCUUAAACAGAGAGUAUAAGGACUGAAAGGCAUCAUGAAGGAUGAAUAAUUCAAAGAGGAGACCAUGCCCUCACUGAGGCAUUGAACUCUGUACAGCUCUAAAUAAAAUCAAGACUCAAGUCACGACGAAGGCCACUGAAAAUAUCUGGCCUGCUCCACAGCAGAAUACCCUCCACAUGGAUAUUCCUGAAGGACCUGCAGCCCAUGAAGAGGCCAUGUUGGACCACAAAGGACUGCAGUGCAUGGGAAGGUCUCACACUGGAGUGGGGAAAAAAGUGUGUGGAGGAAGAAGCAGCAGAGAGAAGCUAUCGGGCUGACUGCAGCCCCUCACUCUUCAUCCCUCUGAGCUACUUGGGAAAGAGGAUAUAUAGGAGCCAGAGAUGAGGGAGUGAAACUAACCUGGGGAGGAGUAGGCUUUAGUUCUUGUCUGUAUCUUAGUUUUUGUCUGUUCUUGUCUGUUUCUCACCAUCAAACUAUAAAUUAUUUGCUAAUCAGUUUAUUUUCCCCAGAUUGAAUCUGUUUUGUCCAUGGCAGUAACUUGCUAAGUGACCAUCUCAUCUUUAUCUUGACGCACCAGCUUUUCCAUCUUAUUUACUCCCUCUGACCUGUUGUGGAAAGGGAGUGAGAGAGCAGCUGGGUGUGCAUCUGACAGCCAGCCAAGGUCAAGACACCACAGAUUCUUUCAUUCUCUGGAACUUGCAGGAGAACUUGAAAGCAAACAGAUUUUAUCUAGUCAAAUAAUAUUCUGUUUUUUAAUUAUUUGUGUCACUGUGAAACCUAAUGCAUGUUUCUCUCCUUCAGGUUGAGAGACAGAGUUUGUGGAAAUUAUAAUUUCUCCUAGUUUUGGUAUAAGAAGGAAUUUUAGUCCGCAGACCUCAGUCCCUGAUGUGUACAUGUCACUGAAGCAGUAUGUAAGGCCAGCUUGAAAGAAAACGAAAAAAAAAUUAUUUGACUAAGAAUGAAAAAUAUAGAUUUAAUUAGGGCAACAAUUAAUAACUAACCUCUGAGUCAAACUAUUAAUGGGGGGGGGGGAAGUACUCCUUUUAAAAUACAGUGACAAAGUAAUUGCUUCUGAUAGUGUAAUUCUUUGGUCAAGGCAAAGAUCACAUAUAUUAUUGUCCUUCCCAAAGAGUGACACAUAACAGAAGGUGAGUACACUCUCCUAAUCUGGACACAUGUACAUAUGAACAUGAUCUUUUAAAAGUGUUUAAGAGUGACAUGCAAAAGUGGUGACCUUCUGAUGAAAAAAACAUAUCAGUGAGCAUGCGGCUGCUGGGAUGACUUGGGCUUUUGAUCCAUUUCUCUUUAAUUUCAGUUUCAAAAUCUGUUUGUAAAUAUUAAAUGGUCUGGAUUCAUUAACCAAUGAGUUAGUCAGCUAGCCAAACCCUCCAAACUCUUAUUAAUCUAUUAUUUAUUUUACUGAGUGCAUUGUGUAGCUCAGCUAUUGAAUGUACAGGUUUCAACAUUCUAAGUUCAAAGUGUAGGGGUUUUUUUCUCUGUGAAUGUCAGAAAAAAUUAUGUAUCUAUUUGUUAUUCAGAGGCUUCUCUGAGGAUUAACAACUUAGUACUGGCUCCAAUUCAUGCUCUUCUGCAGCAAUAUUUCCUGUCCAUUUGGCUUCAGAGGAAUAUUUUCUCUCACUGUUUUGGCCAUCAUGUAAUAGAGAAAUCUGCACAGUUGUGCGGGCCAGAUUCGUGCACACAAAGAUGUGCCCAACAGCAUCUUUUUCCCCAGUAUAAACUUGACAUAGAGAAAAGAUUCAUCACCGUCUAACUUGUAAAAUUAAAAAAAAUUAUUUACAUUUAAGAAACAGUACACUGAAUUAAUAGUAUUGGGUAGAAAUAUAGGAGUGACCAAUUUUUUUUUUAUGCAAAAGUACCAUAAAUGAGAAAACUUUAGCUUUGAAGACUUAAAUGCCUUUGUGGGUAGAAACGCUAGAAAAAAGACAGGUACAAUGAUUAUAUAAUUUUAGAAAACACAGAGACAACUGUAUCUCACACUUUUUUGUUUGUUUGUUUGUUUGCUUUCCAGAAGUGAUUAUUGUAAGGGCCAAGUUCCUAAGGAAGGCCCUAAGGUAGGUGUUAAACAUUCAGGGCCAGUUAUAAACACAAAGGCAGCCAAUGACUUAACAGAAGGAAUCAUUUUACCAAAGGUAAAAUAGACAGAUAAGGUCUGCCUAUUUAGCUGACUCUUAUAAGCAAGUAACCAUUCAGAAGGAAAAUAUAGGUAAAAUCAAAAAUAUUUGUGCAUUUUGGUACAAAUACCAUUGUAUUUUGGUACCCUGGGGUAUUGUCAUUCAAAUAUAUAAUCCAAAUGAUGAAUUGAAAGGAUAUUUUUCAAGCUGAGAAAAUUGAAAAUAUUAAAAGUCAUCUUGUUAUUCUGAAAAAGAGCAGCUUAUCAACAGCACUGCAAAUAUCUUAGGAAAAGGCAUUCAAUAUAACAAAAUGAGUACUUGUCAUGUUGCAUGGCAAAAUGUAUGAAAAGAGACUCAAGACAUUGAGUCUCAGAUAUAAAGUAUAUAUAUUUAUGAGUUGUGUGUGUGCUCUUAUGAAUUUUUAUGUGUAUUUAUUAGGAAUUUUGUUAUUAACAUAAAUUUACUGUUUAAUAAUCCAAUAUUUUAAUUUUAAAUAUUUAAAAUAUAAAUUAUAAAUAUUUUAAUAUUUUAAUGUAUUCCCAUGUCCCAUGAGAGGCAGAGUAAACUUCUCUUAGAUCCUGUUGCUGCUGAUCACCUGGGCUCAAUGGCUUGUGAAGUCUUGGAAUAAAUACUCUUCUUGAAAAUUAAAAA
This is a non-coding RNA of Taeniopygia guttata (zebra finch), 3094 nucleotides long. NCBI's taxonomy places the organism in Eukaryota, Metazoa, Chordata, Aves, Passeriformes, Estrildidae. The record is from RefSeq and is a predicted model, not a curated record.